This 442-nucleotide ribosomal RNA is filed under the name uncultured bacterium. RNAcentral's name for it is "partial 16S ribosomal RNA". It matches the Rfam family "Bacterial small subunit ribosomal RNA", at positions 338 to 795 of the family's 1533-position model. The record is from RNAcentral.
CCUACGGGAGGCAGCAGUGGGGAAUAUUGGGCAAUGGGCGCAAGCCUGACCCAGCAACGCAGCGUGCAGGAAGAAGGCUUUCGGGUUGUAAACUUCUUUUGUCAGGGAAGAGUAGAAGACGAUACCUGACGAAUAAGCCACGGCUAACUACUUGCCAGCAGCCGCGGUAAUACGUAGGUGGCAAGUGUUGUCCGGAUUUACUGGGUGUAAAGGGCGUGUAGCCGGGUUGACAAGUCAGAUGUGAAAUCCUGCGGCUUAACCGCAGAACUGCAUUUGAAACUGUUGAUCUUGAGUACUGGAGAGGCAGACGGAAUUCCUAGUGUAGCGGUGAAAUGCGUAGAUAUUAGGAGGAACACCAGUGGCGAAGGCGGUCUGCUGGACAGCAACUGACGGUGAGGCGCGAAAGCGUGGGGAGCAAACAGGAUUAGAUACCCUUGUAGUC